GGAAGAUACUGUGUCAUCGGCGGC
This 24-nucleotide non-coding RNA is filed under the name Arabidopsis thaliana (thale cress). The record is from RNAcentral. Lineage: Eukaryota; Viridiplantae; Streptophyta; Magnoliopsida; Brassicales; Brassicaceae.